CUAACAUCUUUAAUAUUUCUUUUGUAACUAAAGAUGCAUGUAAUAGCUUUUUAAAUAGAGACUCAAAAAGUGCAACUUCGUACAGUGAAGAGACAGCCCAUUACUGUGUUUGAUAAAAGUUCAUGAAUUUUACAAAUCUGUUGCAGUGGUUGUAAAGAGAAAAGUAGAGUGCUGCUUAUGUUGAAUCCCAGCAUUUUUAUACAGACAAGGACCAUUGGACCCAAAUAAUCUUCCUUUUUUUGGGGGGGGGGGCACCAGUGAAAAUCAAAGGCUGGGUAAAUAGCAAUAGCCAUUAAUGAUUUAAAAUUGGAAAUGAAAAAACAUUUUCUGAACGUGGAAAUAUAUAUACUUCUGAUUGGAUGUCAAGUUAAUUUUCAUUACAAGAAAAAUCAGAAAUCUGUUAGUCUCAUCUGUGCUAAUGGAGGAACGUACUAAAGACAGCAAAAAAAUAUACAGUGCCUUGCAAAAGUAUUCACCCCCUUGACUUGUUACCUAUUUUGUUACAUUACAGCCUUAAGUUCAAUGUUUUAUUAAUCUGCAUUUUAUGUGAUGGAUCAGAACACAAUAGUCGAAGUUGGUGAAGUGAAAUGAG
Pelobates cultripes (western spadefoot toad) is the source of this 592-nucleotide non-coding RNA. Lineage: Eukaryota; Metazoa; Chordata; Amphibia; Anura; Pelobatidae. The record is from the annotation of a GenBank genome assembly.